AUGCCGCUCCUCCACGGCGCCAGCCUCCGGGCGCUCCUCGCCGGCGCCGCCGUCGCCCACCUCUCUUCCUCUCCCAUCGUGCGCGCCUCCCCGUGCGCUCCUCCCCAGCCGCUGCGGCUCCGCGCCUUCGCCUCCCACAGCGCCUCGGAACCUCCGCCGCCGCCCCCCUCCUCGCCAUCGCCCUCGACCUCGCGGGUCCUCGCCUCUGCGGCCGCGGCGUGCGACUGCGAGGAGGGAGCGAAGCCCGCGAUCUGCACGGCGGACGAGCUGCACUACGCGCCCGUGCCAGGCACCGAGUGGCGGCUCGCGCUUUGGAGGUACCGCCCGCCGCCUGAGGCGCCCAAGAGGAACCACCCACUGAUGCUGCUGUCCGGAGUGGCCACCAAUGCGGUGGGAUUCGACCUGUCCCCUGGGGCUUCCUUUGCCCGUCAUAUGUCUAUGCAAGGGUUUGAUACAUGGAUUGUUGAGUUGCGUGGUGCAGGCCUCAGCACACGUGGAUCAGAAUUAGCUGCAGCUAGCACCAAGUCUGACAUGUCCUCUAAUUCAGGUGUGGAUAAAAUUUUGACACAGAAAGUAAAUGUUGUUCCUCCUGCCAAGGAUAUGUCAACUAAUGAACCUCAAAGUUCUGAAGUUCCAGUACUAACAGACACGAAUGUGCUAGAAACAAACACAUCAGAAGAACCACAACUGGUGACAAAGUUAGCAAAUGCUUUGGCACAAUUGAGUGUAACAUUUUCAGUCUAUGUAAGAGAUAGCCAACUCAGAAACAUCACUGACAGUUUUUUUGAUCGAGUGACAGAACUUGUCCCUGAUGCCUCAUUAACUAGUAGUCUUGAGGAGGUUGCAGAUAAAUUUCUAGGGUUGAUGGAAUUGCCACAGACAUCAGCAAUAUAUGAUCAAAUUAGCCAAUUAAGUCAGCGCCUUGUGAAGAUUCUUGGGGAAGGUCAACAAAAUGUUUCCCCUCGGUUAUUUGGCUGGCAAGAACGCCUCUCCGCAACCAUAGAAGAUCUCCAAAAGCAGUUGGAGCUGAUUAUUAGCUAUGAUUGGGACUUUGACCAUUACCUGGAGGAAGAUGUACCUGCAGCGAUAGAUUAUAUAAAACAGCAGAGUGUACCCAAGGAUGGAAAAUUGCUUGCUAUUGGUCACUCUAUGGGAGGAAUCUUGUUGUAUGCAAUGGUUUCGAAGUGUGGAUUCGAAGGGGCUGAUCCAGAGCUGGCAGCGAUUGUUACUCUGGCCUCAUCAGUUGACUACACAACAUCCAACUCCUCGCUCAAGUUAUUUGUGCCUCUUGCAGAUCCAGCUGAGAUGUUGCGUGUUCCUGCUGUCCCACUAGGAACAUUACUAUCAACCACUUAUCCUAUAUCAUCUCGUGCACCAUACAUAUUGUCACUGCUACGCUCUCAAAUUUCAGCCAAGGAUAUGAUGGAUCCUGAACUGCUUUCAAAGCUCAUCUUGAAUAACUUCUGCACAGUACCAGCAAAGGUGUUAUUACAGUUGGCGACCUCAUUCCGUGACGGUGGGCUGCGAAACAGGGCUGGUACUUUUUUCUUCAAAGAGCAUCUGCGGAAAAUCAAAGUUCCGGUGCUUGCCCUUGCUGGAGACGAGGAUCUGAUUUGCCCCCCAGAAGCUGUUUACGAAACCGUGAAAGUAAUUCCUCAGCAUCUGGUCACCUAUAAGGUUUUUGGUAAACCUGAAGGCCCUCACUAUGCACAUUAUGACCUGGUUGGAGGGCGGAAGGCUGUCCAUGAAGUGUACCCUUGCAUAAUAGAGUUCCUCUCUCAACAUGAUGAUGUGUCUUCUUAA
RNAcentral lists this ribosomal RNA (1803 nucleotides) under Triticum aestivum (bread wheat). Its description in RNAcentral is "partial small subunit ribosomal RNA". The record is from RNAcentral. Lineage: Eukaryota; Viridiplantae; Streptophyta; Magnoliopsida; Poales; Poaceae.